AGUCGGACGGUAGCACAGAGAGCUUGCUCUUGGGUGACGAGUGGCGGACGGGUGAGUAAUGUCUGGGGAUCUGCCCGAUAGAGGGGGAUAACCACUGGAAACGGUGGCUAAUACCGCAUAACGUCGCAAGACCAAAGAGGGGGACCUUCGGGCCUCUCACUAUCGGAUGAACCCAGAUGGGAUUAGCUAGUAGGCGGGGUAAUGGCCCACCUAGGCGACGAUCCCUAGCUGGUCUGAGAGGAUGACCAGCCACACUGGAACUGAGACACGGUCCAGACUCCUACGGGAGGCAGCAGUGGGGAAUAUUGCACAAUGGGCGCAAGCCUGAUGCAGCCAUGCCGCGUGUAUGAAGAAGGCCUUCGGGUUGUAAAGUACUUUCAGCGGGGAGGAAGGCGAYGGGGUUAAUAACCCUGUCGAUUGACGUUACCCGCAGAAGAAGCACCGGCUAACUCCGUGCCAGCAGCCGCGGUAAUACGGAGGGUGCAAGCGUUAAUCGGAAUUACUGGGCGUAAAGCGCACGCAGGCGGUCUGUUAAGUCAGAUGUGAAAUCCCCGGGCUUAACCUGGGA
Molecule: ribosomal RNA, 568 nt
Filed under: Pantoea agglomerans
Lineage: Bacteria; Pseudomonadati; Pseudomonadota; Gammaproteobacteria; Enterobacterales; Erwiniaceae
Description: bacterial SSU rRNA
Source: RNAcentral